GAUGAACGCUGGCGGCGUGCCUAAUACAUGCAAGUCGAGCGAACGGACGAGAAGCUUGCUUCUCUGAUGUUAGCGGCGGACGGGUGAGUAACACGUGGAUAACCUACCUAUAAGACUGGGAUAACUUCGGGAAACCGGAGCUAAUACCGGAUAAUAUUUUGAACCGCAUGGUUCAAAAGUGAAAGACGGUCUUGCUGUCACUUAUAGAUGGAUCCGCGCUGCAUUAGCUAGUUGGUAAGGUAACGGCUUACCAAGGCAACGAUGCAUAGCCGACCUGAGAGGGUGGUCGGCCUCACUGGAACGAAGGCACGGUCCAGACUCCUACGGGAGGCAGCAGUAGGGAAUCUUCCGCAAUGGGCGAAAGCCUGACGUAGCAACACCGCGUGAGUGAUGAAGGUCUUCGGAUCGUAAAACUCUGUUAUUAGGGAAGAACAUAUGUGUAAGUAACUGUGCACAUCUUGACGGUACCUAAUCAGAAAGCCACGGCUAACUACGUG
This 497-nucleotide ribosomal RNA is filed under the name uncultured bacterium. RNAcentral describes it as "partial 16S ribosomal RNA". It matches the Rfam family "Bacterial small subunit ribosomal RNA", at positions 28 to 507 of the family's 1533-position model. The record is from RNAcentral.